AGUACUGCUUCAGAAGUGGAGGAAGUUGGCUGUUCUCUGGUGCUUGCUUUUUUUUUAGCAUAUACUUCAAGUCCUGCUAAAUCAAGAUGCUAUAUUCUCACCUACCUGCAUUGCCCGGUUGCCGGUGGGGGAAGAUGACUGUGGGCUGGGGAGGCUGCAAUUUCAACCCUGCUUGCUGUUUGAGCGGCAUCCGAUUCAAGUGCUGACUCCUUUGGUGCUGAGAUGGAGCAGGUUGAUGGAAGGCUGGACAGGGCUGAGCGAUCCGAUCCUGCUGUAGCUGGCUCCAAUUGGCGUGGGGGAAGUUGGACCAGGUGGCUGUUAUGGGUCCCUGCCACCCUGAGUGACUUCAAAAUUCUGUGAUAAGUCAGUGCUUAAAAACCCAUGUAAUCUAACAGCUAUGCUAUUGAACAGCUACCAGUAAUGACAUUAUUGAGUUAACUGUAUUUACACUACAGUUUAAAUAAUUAAUUAAACUAUAAGUAACAGUUACAUAGAUGUUGGAAAGAAUGAAGAAUAGUUUAGAAACAUUUUGUUGUAUAAAAUCCAGGUUAGAAGAGAAACCAUGGCACUUGUUAUGUAAGUUUCUUGCACGGUAUUAUGUGUAUCAGAAAAUGCUUUGUAACGUGUAGAUGAUACUAGACUUCCAGAACUACUCUACUGCUAAAUUAAACCUAUUUACAGCUGUGCCAAUAUAUAAUGUCUGAGCCUUGUUCUUUUGUCUUUCUGCCUUUUAUUUAAGGAAUGUAAAGUUAAAUAACUUCGUGGGUGUCAGGAGGUGGUUAUACUAGGUUUGUUGGGCAUUAUUUUAAAAUGACGCAUUUCCCCAGUGAUGCUCCAAUAUUUCUAAACACCUUGUAGCUUCCAUCUUGGUAUCCUUAUGUGCUACUGUCAGGCUUAAGGUCUUUACGCACAGCCUCCUUCUCUCCAACUUAUGCUAUGAAGCUUCUCCUGUGUCACAUUACCAAAAUAAAGUAUGUAUACACUAUGUGCUUUCA
RNAcentral lists this long non-coding RNA (995 nucleotides) under Chrysolophus pictus (golden pheasant). RNAcentral's name for it is "lncRNA (ENSCPIG00010014194.1)". The record is from RNAcentral. Lineage: Eukaryota; Metazoa; Chordata; Aves; Galliformes; Phasianidae.